GACGAACGCUGGCGGCGUGCUUAACACAUGCAAGUCGAACGGAAAGGCCCUGCUUUUGUGGGGUGCUCGAGUGGCGAACGGGUGAGUAACACGUGAGUAACCUGCCCUUGACUUUGGGAUAACUUCAGGAAACUGGGGCUAAUACCGGAUAGGAGCUCCUGCUGCAUGGUGGGGGUUGGAAAGUUUCGGCGGUUGGGGAUGGACUCGAGGCUUAUCAGCUGGUUGGUGGGGUAGUGGCGUACCAAGGCUUUGAGGGGUAGCCGGCCUGAGAGGGUGACCGGCCACACAGGAAGUGAGACAGGGUCCAGACUCCUACGGGAGGCAGCAGUAGGGAACCUUCGGCAAUGGGGGAAAGCAUGACGGAGCAACGCCGCGUGAGUGAUGAAGGUCUUCGGAUCGUAAAACUCUGUUAUUAGGGAAGAAAAAAUGUGUAAGUAACUAUGCACGUCUUGACGGUACCUAAUCAGAAAGCCACGGCUAACUACGUG
RNAcentral lists this ribosomal RNA (488 nucleotides) under uncultured bacterium. Its description in RNAcentral is "partial 16S ribosomal RNA". It matches the Rfam family "Bacterial small subunit ribosomal RNA", at positions 28 to 507 of the family's 1533-position model. The record is from RNAcentral.